AGUAACACGUGGAUAACCUACCUAUAAGACUGGGAUAACUUCGGGAAACCGGAGCUAAUACCAGAUAACAUGUUGAACCGCAUGGUUCAACAGUGAAAGACGGUCUUGCUGUCACUUAUAGAUGGAUCCGCGCCGCAUUAGCCAGUUGGUAAGGUAACGGCUUACCAAGGCAACGAUGCGUAGCCGACCUGAGAGGGUGAUCGGCCACACUGGAACUGAGACACGGUCCAG
RNAcentral lists this ribosomal RNA (231 nucleotides) under uncultured Staphylococcus sp. RNAcentral's name for it is "partial 16S ribosomal RNA". It matches the Rfam family "Bacterial small subunit ribosomal RNA", at positions 109 to 334 of the family's 1533-position model. The record is from RNAcentral. Lineage: Bacteria; Bacillati; Bacillota; Bacilli; Caryophanales; Staphylococcaceae.